Molecule: ribosomal RNA, 266 nt
Filed under: uncultured Staphylococcus sp.
Lineage: Bacteria; Bacillati; Bacillota; Bacilli; Caryophanales; Staphylococcaceae
Description: partial 16S ribosomal RNA
Rfam family: Bacterial small subunit ribosomal RNA
Source: RNAcentral
CGGCGGACGGGUGAGUAACACGUGGAUAACCUACCUAUAAGACUGGGAUAACUUCGGGAAACCGGAGNUAAUACCGGAUAAUAUAUUGAACCGCAUGGUUCAAUAGUGAAAGACGGUUUUGCUGUCACUUAUAGACGGAUCCGCGCCGCAUUAGCUAGUUGGUAAGGUAACGGCUUACCAAGGCAACGAUGCGUAGCCGACCUGAGAGGGUGAUCGGCCACACUGGAACUGAGACACGGUCCAGACUCCUACGGGAGGCAGCAGCA